This 449-nucleotide ribosomal RNA is filed under the name uncultured bacterium. RNAcentral's name for it is "partial 16S ribosomal RNA". It matches the Rfam family "Bacterial small subunit ribosomal RNA", at positions 29 to 523 of the family's 1533-position model. The record is from RNAcentral.
AACGAACGCUGGCGGCAGGCCUAACACAUGCUAGUCGAGCGAGGACUUCGGUCCUAGCGGCGGACGGGUGAGUAGCGCGUGGGAACGUGCCCCUUGGUACGGAAUAGCCCCGGGAAACUGGGAGUAAUACCGUAUGAGCUCUACGGAGGAAAGAUUUAUCGCCAAGGGAUCGGCCCGCGUUGGAUUAGGUAGUUGGUGGGGUAAUGGCCUACCAAGCCGACGAUCCAUAGCUGGUUUGAGAGGAUGAUCAGCCACACUGGGACUGAGACACGGCCCAGACUCCUACGGGAGGCAGCAGUGGGGAAUCUUAGACAAUGGGCGCAAGCCUGAUCUAGCCAUGCCGCGUGAGCGAUGAAGGCCUUAGGGUUGUAAAGCUCUUUCAGCUGGGAAGAUAAUGACUGUACCAGCAGAAGAAGCCCCGGCUAACUCCGUGCCAGCAGCCGCCGUAA